UGCAGGCUGGUGAUUAGGGACCAGAAGGACAAUGUCUAUAGACCAGUGGGGCCGAAGUACCCCAUGUAUGGCAGUCUCUGCAGCCGUCUGGGUUCUCAGUCUCCUCACCUGCCAGUGAGCCCACCUCUGGAGAUCUUCAAUCAUCUAUCUUCUGGAGCCUCUGCAGGAGCAACCAGGGCUUCUCAGGGAGGGGCUAGGACCUGAUCUCUGCACCCCCAAGUGAUGUCUCAGCUCUAAAUAACAUCUCCAGGAUUAACAUUGCUGGCAGCCAACAGUACCAGGAUUUCUCUGUGAAGUCCUGGCUGUCCUGGAACUUGCUCUGUAGACCAGGCUGGCCUCUAACUCAGAGAUCUGGGAUUAAAGGUGUCCACCACCACUGGUUCCCUGCAAAGUUUGACUAUUAGCUUCCACUGAGGCUGACAGGAGGGAGAGAAGGAUGGUUCCCAGUGUCCUGAAAGGAGACCUUCCCAGGGUAAUUACCUGCUGAUCACUUGCACUCAAGAUACACUAACUGCCCUGUCAUGAGCUGCAGGAUACCUGCAGGAGCAGCCAGUCGGACAAGAGAAGGCUAGCCAAGCCAUGCUGGGAGGCAGAGGAUGCCCUUGUCUGGGAUGCUGGGUCUUUGGUGAAUCCAUCUUUACCAUGACAGCUGUGGCCACGAACGUGCCCUGCCCUACCAUGCAACCUCCAUCCCUUCCACCACUGCCAUGAUCUCCAUCGUCAUCACCAUCCCCACGAUCUCUGCCUGCAUCACCAACACCAUCACCACCUCAUCUGUUACCAUCCCUACCACCACAACCUCCACUAUCACUUUUUGCUGUUGUUGUUAAUAUAGUGUCUCUGUAUAGCCCUGG
Mastomys coucha (southern multimammate mouse) is the source of this 854-nucleotide long non-coding RNA. RefSeq lists it as uncharacterized. The record is from RefSeq and is a predicted model, not a curated record. The transcript has 3 exons. Lineage: Eukaryota; Metazoa; Chordata; Mammalia; Rodentia; Muridae.